UCCAUUAUCUUAGCGGCGGACGGGUGAGUAACACGUGGGCAACCUGCCCUGCAGAUCGGGAUAACUCCGGGAAACCGGUGCUAAUACCGAAUAGUUUGCGGCCUCUCAUGAGGCUGCACGGAAAGACGGUUUCGGCUGUCACUGCAGGAUGGGCCCGCGGCGCAUUAGCUAGUUGGUGAGGUAACGGCUCACCAAGGCCACGAUGCGUAGCCAACCUGAGAGGGUGAUCGGCCACACUGGGACUGAGACACGGCCCAGACUCCUACGGGAGGCAGCAGUAGGGAAUCUUCCGCAAUGGACGAAAGUCUGACGGAGCAACGCCCCGUGAGUGAAGAAGGUUUUCGGAUCGUAAAACUCUGUUGUGAGGGAAGAACAAGUACCAACUAACUACUGGUACCUUGACGGUACCUCACCAGAAAGCCACGGCUAACUACGUGCCAGCAGCCGCGGUAAUACGUAGGUGGCAAGCGUUGUCCGGAAUUAUUGGGCGUAAAGCGCGCGCAGGCGGUCCUUUAAGUCUGAUGUGAAAGCCCACGGCUCAACCGUGGAGGGUCAUUGGAAACUGGGGGACUUGAGUGCAGAAAAGGAAAGUGGAAUUCCACGUGUAGCGGUGAAAUGCGUAGAGAUGUGGAGGAACACCAGUGGCGAAGGCGACUUUCUGGUCUGUAACUGACGCUGAGGCGCGAAA
RNAcentral lists this ribosomal RNA (688 nucleotides) under Planococcus rifietoensis. Its description in RNAcentral is "bacterial SSU rRNA". It matches the Rfam family "Bacterial small subunit ribosomal RNA", at positions 83 to 758 of the family's 1533-position model. Lineage: Bacteria; Bacillati; Bacillota; Bacilli; Caryophanales; Caryophanaceae. The record is from RNAcentral.